UUGCGGCCUAUCAGCUUGUUGGUGAGGUAAUGGCUCACCAAGGCAACGACGGGUAGCCGGCCUGAGAGGGCGACCGGCCACACUGGGACUGAGACACGGCCCAGACUCCUACGGGAGGCAGCAGUGGGGAAUAUUGGGCAAUGGAGGAAACUCUGACCCAGCGACGCCGCGUGCGGGAUGAAGGCCUUCGGGUUGUAAACCGCUUUCAGUAGGGAAGAAGCGAAAGUGACGGUACCUACAAAAGAAGCACCGGCUAACUAUGUGCCAGCAGCCGCGGUAAUACAUAGGGUGCAAGCGUUGUCCGGAAUUAUUGGGCGUAAAGAGCUCGUAGGUCGUUUGUUACGUCGGAUGUGAAAACCUGAGGCUCAACCUCAGGCCUGCAUUCGAUACGGGCAAACUAGAGUUUGGUAGGGGAGACUGGAAUUCCU
This 428-nucleotide ribosomal RNA is filed under the name uncultured Actinomycetes bacterium. Its description in RNAcentral is "bacterial SSU rRNA". It matches the Rfam family "Bacterial small subunit ribosomal RNA", at positions 231 to 671 of the family's 1533-position model. Lineage: Bacteria; Bacillati; Actinomycetota; Actinomycetes. The record is from RNAcentral.